GCGGGUGCUAAGCUGCCGUCCGCGCGCGGGUCGGUGUCCCGGUGGGUCGCCGCGGGCCUCGUCCCGUUCCUCUUUGGUCGGUGUGCCCGUGCGGUUGCUGCUGCGUCCCGGAUCCCAACCGGCGAGAGGAUCGAAAGGGCAGAGGCGGCUGCUUAGGGGGACUCGCAGACUUAAUGGGAGAGCCGGGCUCUGGUCGCCCGCCCUCGGGGCAGGGCGGGGUCUCCUGCCGGGCGGGCCCGGUCGAAGAAAAGAUGGCGAAGGCUCCCUGCAUCAGCUGCUUCUGCGUGAGGCGCUCCCACAGGCCUCCUUGCCGUGCCCCUUGCCUUCGGUUCUCUCCGGGCUGGCUGUGCUUACUCCGCUCGUCUCAGCACCCGCUACCUUCCCUUCCUGUGGCCCGUGUUUCUUAACUACGAACAGCGUACCUCAGAGCAGGACGAUCCAUCCCAUGGCCCAAGCGGACCUUCAGACACCAAAACAUUGCUGCAUCCGAGCCUGACUCCCGAAUAACUAUAGGAGUAGUUCCUCCUCCUCCGCCUUUGUCCCCGGUGUGCUGCCAUGCAGUUGCCCUGAACCAUUCUUGGGUGUCUCUGAAGACAGCACUGAUCAGUAAAGAUCUCUUUUUGCUUGAGUGCAAA
Long non-coding RNA from Harpia harpyja (harpy eagle), 635 nucleotides. RefSeq lists it as uncharacterized. The transcript has 2 exons. The record is from RefSeq and is a predicted model, not a curated record. NCBI's taxonomy places the organism in Eukaryota, Metazoa, Chordata, Aves, Accipitriformes, Accipitridae.